GACGAACGCUGGCGGCGUGCCUAAUACAUGCAAGUCGAACGCAGUGGGGACGGGUGAGUAACACGUGGGUAAGCUCCCAUCAGAGGGGAUAACACUUGGAAACAGGUGCUAAACCGGUACUGAUGGAUGGACCCGAGGUGCAUUAGCUAGUUGGUGAGGUAACGGCUCACCAAGGCCACGAUGCAUAGCCGACCUGAGAGGGUGAUCGGCCACACUGGAACUGAGACACGGCCCAGACUCCUACGGGAGGCAGCAGUAGGGAAUCGUCGGCAAUGGACGAAAGUCUGACCCAGCAACGCCGCGUGUGUGAAGAAGGUUUUCGGAUCGUAAAGCUCUUUUUGUAGAGAGGCGGUAUCUAACCAGAAAGCCCCGGCUAACUACGUGCCAGCAGCCGCGGUAAUAC
RNAcentral lists this ribosomal RNA (403 nucleotides) under uncultured bacterium. RNAcentral's name for it is "partial 16S ribosomal RNA". It matches the Rfam family "Bacterial small subunit ribosomal RNA", at positions 28 to 526 of the family's 1533-position model. The record is from RNAcentral.